CCUAAGGCCUAGCUCAGCUGCCACGUCCUAUCUGGAUCACCACCCCCACCAACCCCGAGACCAUCUUGAACCCUCCAGCAAGUGAGCGCCUCCACUGGUGCACUUAAACACCAACAGUAGUACAACAGCAGCGCAUGACUCCCCUCCCCACAGGCUGGCAAAUGCCCGUGGGAGCCAGUGAUCCAGCCUGCUCUAGUCUGUCAGAAAGGCUGCUCAGGACCAGGGGAUUACAACCUGAAGAAAGCCUUCCGAAGCAAGAGCCAUCCACAGCCAGUUUCACCACUAAUUUCAAGGAUUACACUAGGAACAAGAGCAAAUCUACCACUAUCACCCCAGACUAUGCCCAUCAUCUCCACCUCUCCCACUGGAAGAAGUGACAAUCUAUUCUCCACACAGGAGCCAGAGAAAAUGCCUUAAAACGGAUGUCGGGUCCUGUCAGACCUUUGCUCAAAACCCUCUGAGGCUUCUGAUCAUUAUCUGAAUAAAAUCCAAACUCCUUACCAUGA
Molecule: non-coding RNA, 506 nt
Filed under: Pongo abelii (Sumatran orangutan)
Lineage: Eukaryota; Metazoa; Chordata; Mammalia; Primates; Hominidae
Source: RNAcentral